Molecule: ribosomal RNA, 748 nt
Filed under: uncultured eukaryote
Lineage: Eukaryota
Description: bacterial SSU rRNA
Rfam family: Eukaryotic small subunit ribosomal RNA
Source: RNAcentral
CUUGACACAGGGAGGCAGUGACAAAUAAAUAACAAUUCCGGGCGCUAGUCGUCUGGUAUUUGGAAUGAGAACAAUUUAAAUCCCUUAACGAGGAUCAAUUGGAGGGCAAGUCUGGUGCCCAGCAGCCGCGGUAAUUCCAGCUCCCAAUAGCGUAUAUUAAAGUUGUUGCAGUUAAAAAGCUCGUAGUUGGAUUUCUGGAUGGUAGGCUCGGUCGCUCCUUCCGGAGUGUACUAGUAGCUUUUACCGUCCAUCUUUGUGGGAAUGGCUUCUGCUAUUAGGUUAGUGGGGGUUGGACCCGCAUCGUUUACUGUGAAAAAAUUAGAGUGUUUAAAGCAGGCAAUCGCCUUGAAUACAUUAGCAUGGAAUAAUAAGAUAGGACUGUAGUACUAUUUUGUUGGUUUGCGUACUUCGGUAAUGAUUAAUAGGGAUAGUUGGGGGUAUUCAUAUUCAAUUGUCAGAGGUGAAAUUCUUAGAUUUAUGGAAGAUGAACAUCUGCGAAAGCAUUUACCAAGGAUGUUUUCAUUAAUCAAGAACGAAAGUUAGGGGAUCGAAGAUGAUUAGAUACCAUCGUAGUCUUAACCAUAAACUAUGCCGACUCGGGAUUGGUCAGCGUUGAUUUAAUGACCUGAUCAGCAUCGUAUGAGAAAUCAAAGUCUUUGGGUUCCGGGGGGAGUAUGGUCGCAAGGCUGAAACUUAAAGGAAUUGACGGAAGGGCACCACCAGGAGUGGAGCCUGCGGCUUAAUUUGA